RNAcentral lists this ribosomal RNA (510 nucleotides) under uncultured bacterium. Its description in RNAcentral is "partial 16S ribosomal RNA". The record is from RNAcentral.
GGAGUUAGCCGGUGCUUCUUCUGUGAGUGAUGUCCUUCCUGCCGGCUAUUAACCCGCAGGCCUUCUUCCUCACUGAAAGUGCUUUACAACCCGAAGGCCUUCUUCACACACGCGGCAUGGCUGGAUCAGGGUUGCCCCCAUUGUCCAAUAUUCCCCACUGCUGCCUCCCGUAGGAGUCUGGGCCGUGUCUCAGUCCCAGUGUGGCUGAUCAUCCUCUCAGACCAGCUACGGAUCGUCGCCUUGGUGAGCCGUUACCUCACCAACCAGCUAAUCCGACAUAGGCUCAUCCGAUAGCGCGAGGCCCGAAGGUCCCCCGCUUUCCCCCGUAGGGCGUAUGCGGUAUUAGCCUGGGUUUCCCCAGGUUAUCCCCCACUACCGGGCAGAUUCCUAUGCAUUACUCACCCGUCCGCCGCUCGCCACCAGGGAGCAAGCUCCCCGUGCUGCCGCUCGACUUGCAUGUGUUAGGCCUGCCGCCACGCGUCAUACUGAGCACUAAUACAAACUACUCGA